GGUAAUGUCUGGGAAACUGCCCGAUGGAGGGGGAUAACUACUGGAAACGGUAGCUAAUACCGCAUAACGUCGCAAGACCAAAGAGGGGGACCUUCGGGCCUCUUGCCAUCGGAUGUGCCCAGAUGGGAUUAGCUAGUAGGUGGGGUAACGGCUCACCUAGGCGACGAUCCCUAGCUGGUCUGAGAGGAUGACCAGCCACACUGGAACUGAGCACGGUCCAG
This 221-nucleotide ribosomal RNA is filed under the name uncultured bacterium. RNAcentral describes it as "partial 16S ribosomal RNA". It matches the Rfam family "Bacterial small subunit ribosomal RNA", at positions 109 to 334 of the family's 1533-position model. The record is from RNAcentral.